Molecule: ribosomal RNA, 254 nt
Filed under: uncultured bacterium
Lineage: Bacteria
Description: partial 16S ribosomal RNA
Rfam family: Bacterial small subunit ribosomal RNA
Source: RNAcentral
UACGUAGGGAGCAAGCGUUGUCCGGAUUUAUUGGGCGUAAAGAGCUCGUAGGCGGCUUAGCAAGUCGGGUGUGAAACCUCCAGGCUCAACCUGGAGACGCCACUCGAUACUGCUAUGGCUUGAGUUCGGUAGGGGACCAUGGAAUUCCUGGUGUAGCGGUGAAAUGCGCAGAUAUCAGGAGAAACACCGAUGGCGAAGGCAGUGGUCUGGGCCGAUACUGACGCUGAGGAGCGAAAGCAUGGGGAGCGAACAGG